RNAcentral lists this ribosomal RNA (404 nucleotides) under uncultured bacterium. RNAcentral describes it as "bacterial SSU rRNA". It matches the Rfam family "Bacterial small subunit ribosomal RNA", at positions 355 to 776 of the family's 1533-position model. The record is from RNAcentral.
UGGGGAAUAUUGGACAAUGGGCGAAAGCCUGAUCCAGCAAUGCCGCGUGAGUGAUGAAGGCCUUAGGGUUGUAAAGCUCUUUUACCCGGGAUGAUAAUGACAGUACCGGGAGAAUAAGCUCCGGCUAACUCCGUGCCAGCAGCCGCGGUAAUACGGAGGGAGCUAGCGUUGUUCGGAAUUACUGGGCGUAAAGCGCACGUAGGCGGCUUUGUAAGUUAGAGGUGAAAGCCCGGGGCUCAACUCCGGAACUGCCUUUAAGACUGCAUCGCUUGAAUCCAGGAGAGGUGAGUGGAAUUCCGAGUGUAGAGGUGAAAUUCGUAGAUAUUCGGAAGAACACCAGUGGCGAAGGCGGCUCACUGGACUGGUAUUGACGCUGAGGUGCGAAAGCGUGGGGAGCAAACAGG